Long non-coding RNA from Ctenopharyngodon idella (grass carp), 7102 nucleotides. RefSeq lists it as uncharacterized. NCBI's taxonomy places the organism in Eukaryota, Metazoa, Chordata, Actinopteri, Cypriniformes, Xenocyprididae. The record is from RefSeq and is a predicted model, not a curated record. The transcript has 5 exons.
CUAUUUAGUAAUGCUUAACUAAUGCUUCAUAGCGUGAGUUAUUCUAGUGUUACCCAACAAUCACCACUGAUCACCACCAGCUGUCACUCAUCACCUGCACCAGUUAUAAGGACUCUCCACACACACUCUCUUUGUCUAGUCUCGUCUAUGACCAACCGGAUGUGCUCCUUGGAUGUUACUCACCUAAAGACUCCUUACCUGAUGUGCAUCAGGACGUGCGUGCAGUUACAUGGCCGCAGGUUUUCUUAUCAGAGUCUGGCAGCACAGAUGUAUGUUCUUCCUCUGUAGCUCAACCCACAGCGGUUUCUGUUUCUAUCAUGACACUCAGGCAGAAAUGUGAGGAUUUCACAAAGAAAGCAUGUUUUAAGUAAAGUUAUGAUUGAUCAUUUUCCACAUAUCUCUAAUCAAAGUGUAACCAUAUGGUAACACUAUAGUACAGGGAAUACAUAUAAACUAUUAACUAUGACUUUUCCCUCAAUAAAGUCCUAAUUUACUGCUUAUUAAUAAUUAGUAAGAUAGUUUUUAUGUUUAGGUAUUGGGUACGAUUAAGAAUGUAGAAUAAGGUCUUGUAGAAUAAGGCAUUAAUAUAUGCAUGCUAAUAAGCAACUAGUUAAAAGACCCUAAAAUAAAGUAUUACCAACCAUAUAAUUUAGUAGCUUUGAAUAUUUGAAAAACACUGUAAACUUUAACAAGGUUGAACAAAAUGUUUGGUUUAAAAUCUUUUCCUGUGGAGUUGAAAUGACAGAGAACAUUACUAGUGAGGUUUUGGCGGUUUCAAACAUUCACUUUGCUGUGGAGAGCUGUUCAGCCCUGUGCGUCUCUGCUUAAAAUGGUUGAGGCAGUAUAUAUUUGCCCCUGUGUGUAAGAUACUGGUCAGUUUACAACUGGAUAAAAUAACCAGAGACAAGCAGAUGCCAGUGUAUCUUAUUCUUUUAUUAUAGUGAAUUAAAUAUCAGCUUUACCUAGUACCUAGUGUCUGAGAUCAAUAUAUUUUGGCACAAGUAGGCAAAUGUGUCUCAAGCUUGUUUAACUUCCACUUUUUUUUGUUUCACUACUUCCUGGGAACUUUUCUACUGUGAAGCUCUUAGAUUGGUCUUUGACACAUUCUAUCUUGACUUUCGUUAAGUGUUUAGCUUGCCCUAGCAUUAUAAUAUUUUCUGUUGAUUUAAAUUUAUGCAAAAAAUAAAAGAAUAAUAAAAAUUUGAUUUCUUUUCUUUACAAAACACAUUGAGAUUUUGAGAACAAAAUGGCAGAGAGGAACACCAUGGUGGAGAUGAUGGAGGGAGGAACCAGGAAAGACAUUAUGGAGGAAGGAGCCGGAGAGAGACCCAGAGGCAAAGCACCCUAAUGUAGGCCCAUGGCAGAACCGAGGAGACAAAGAGACAAGGCAACAGCAUAGGACCAGGGGGCCAAGGCAGAGCCACGGUGACGAGCGACUAAGGUGGUGCCAGGGUCCUGGAGGACUGAUGCGGAGCUGGUGGGACUGAAGACCAAGGUGGAGCUGGAGGGAAGGGGGAGCCCAAUGGAGCUGAAGGGACGGAGGGAGGAGGCACAGCCAAAGGCCUGUAAGUCCAUGGUAUAGGCAGAGCGACAACUAACUAAGGCGGAGUCGGAGAGACGAAAGAGUCAUAAGGUGGAGCCAUAAGGACAACAGUCCCAGGUGGAGCCAAGGGAACGAGGAGCCAAGGUGGAGCAGAUUGGUUUACAGGCCAAGGUGGAGUAACGGGCUUGGUGGAAGACCGGAAGGCCCAAGGCGGAUCCGAGAAGCAGAGCAGAGGAACUAGAUGACUUUGAAAGGGGAAGCAGGAGAGGGAGGCUGGGUGGGGCCAUCAGUGACAAAGGAGACUUGGAACUGGACGAAACCAUAAGCGACGAAGGAAACUUGGAGCUGCACACAAACAGCUGCAACGGGAGACUUUAGGGAGUCAUAUUUUCCAAUCCAUCAAUUAGUCUAAUAACUUGGCACACCUCACCCUCAACAGCAGGAGUAUGGGCUUGCCUCCACUCCAUGCCUCUAUACUCCACUAAUACAUCCACCUCGACGGACGUUGUUGCUGGCUCAAGCACCUGGUCAGACUCUCUGUGGGGCUUGGGCUCCAUGACGAAAAUGUUUAUCCUCAUUCUUUACCUCCUCAAUAAAAAUUUCUUCAAGGGAGGGUGCUGUUGGUGUGUCAGGUCAAGUGUAAUCCUCCACAACUGACUGCAAACUUGCCUUUCUUUGGAGGGAUGUUAUAGUUGGGAAUGACUUCACACUCAAGGUGAACGCAUUCCAUUACUGUCAGGAGGGACAGAGGACCCAAAAGUGAUAGAAGGAACAGAAACAGUUUAUUAAUAAUGACAAAAAAACACAGGCAGUCUGCCGAGCACCGGCUCUCAGGGUGAACUUAAAUAGUCCACAUCAAACGAAAUGAAGAAAAGGGUCCCAAGCUUGUCAGAGGGCAUACAGCGAAUAGGUUACACAGUCCCGAGCCAGUAGACACAGCACCACCGAUGGCAGAUGGCAAGGUGACCUCAGGCAGCAGGAAGACUGGGCAGAGAACAUGUGCACGACUAGACUGAACAAACAAGACUGGGACUAAGACUAAGACUGACACUACGGAUAAACAUAUAAAGAAGUCUGGCAGGCAUAAAGAGCCGAGUAACACACUAGAAAAUACACAAUAAUCUGGCAAAGAGCUGAGAGAGCAGCAGAGUAAAGUAGCCGAGAAAAUUAGAGUAGAGAAAGAACAGGUGUGGAGAUGAUCAGCGCGAGCGCUGAUUGGAAUAGCGAACAGCUGAGUCUAAGUAGCAGUAAUGACAGGAGAAAGAGAAACAGGGAGAAUAUCAAACCCGACUCAUGACAAUUACACAGGUCAGUAAACCAAGAUAGUUCAGGCAAGCCAUUGUGCUUGCUCUUUCGGAAUACAAACACAUAAAAAAGUGUUAUUUUGCACAGAUAAUGCUGAAGUAUCAUGUCUACAGAUAUAGGCUGGUUAGUACUGUGUGCACCACUGAAUUUAUUGAGACACAGACAAACAGAAGUGCUAAUAAACAAUAUAAUACUACUUUUUCAUUACGGUUGAUGCGCUGAGUAGCCAUAUUGGAUUCUGAAGUUGAGUUGUUGCGGUUUCUCCAAGUUUCCCUUGACAUGAUGGGGGCGUUCGAGUUAAAAGUUCCUUCUGGGAACUAGGGCUGUGUUUGAAAUGGCAUACUAUCAUACUACUCUUACUAUUUCUGCAGUAUCCGGUAUGUAUACUGUGCAUAGUAUGCAAAUUUUCUGUAUGCAUGGAAUACCCAGAUGACCUACUAUAUUUGCCAGAAUCUGCUAAAUACAACUCAAGAACACUGAAAUCAGUAUGGAAGCUGUGUUCGGAAUGGCAUACUACCAUACAACUCUUACUAUAUUGUAGUAUGCAAUGUGUAUACUGUGAAAAGUAUGUGAAUUUUCAGUAUGCAUGGAAUUCCCAGAUUACCUACUACAUUUGUUGAAAUCUGAUGUAUGCAUCUGAGGACACUGCAUGGGGUACUGUUUCCCAAAAUGCAACACGCUCCACGUGACGUUUCAUCUUCCUGAAGAGUGCGGUGUGAUUGGAGGCUGGGAAUAAUUAUGUAGUCUAACACUUUGACACGUUAUUGUAAAGUACAAACUAGCUGUGUUUCCGAAAACACAAUCAUUACAUAAAUUGCACUUUAAUCUCUACUGCACACUUCCGAUCAAGUAACCUUUAUUUAUACAGCGCUUAAUGCAGUACAGAUUUCAAAGCAGCUUUACAGUGAUAUAAUGAUUCAGUGAUGCAAACAGAGUUCAGAGUAUCAGAGUAUGGUCAAUUGAUUAAAGGUGCAGUAAAAUAUCCAAAAACCACUAGGCCAGUGUUAUAUAUUUUGUUCAGUUGAGUACUUACAAUAUCCCAAAUGUUUCCAGCUAUUUGUAAAUCUUGAGAAAAUUGCUAUUUUAACCAAGGCUCCGGGACGUUUGAGAAUCGCCUGUCAAUGGCAUCAUAUCCGCAUUACCCUCGGUUUCCACUUUUACUGCUGUAGAAACCAUGACAACAUAGUCUCGUGGACAAAUGUGGAAGUAGUAGUUGUAGCGUCUAUCAAGCAACUAGCUUGUUUCGUGCAGUCGUUAUGGAACACAUUUAAUCUUUAUCAUUUGCAAAUGACCCAAAAAGAUUUUAGGACAAGAAGAGAAAUAAAACGAGGAUCAACAUCGGUGUGGCUUUUCCUAAAUGGAGAGAACUUCGCGUCAAACUUCAACUAGACAGAGACACCGAACUAGCAUGUGUUUUAAUAGACAGGUGAGUAAAUGUUUGGAUUCCUUUGCUGACAGCAAACUUAUGAUUAUUAUAUCGAUCAACAGUGUUAGUCAUAUUGUUUGAAUGUGUUCUUGUUUAUGCAUAUGAUGUGAAAAAUGGUAAGGUGAUGUUCACUGCGAAUACUUAAAGGCAUGUUAUGAACUGUUGGCUGUAAUUUUAUUGUUAUACUUAGCUUUAGUGAAGUACUUGUCACUGCAUUAAAUAAUGUGUCAAAUGCCAAAAUCAUUUUAAGUUACCAAAAAGGAGGGCCAUCCACGUCAACUCCUUGCAAGACACCUGGAAUGCCUCUUCAAACCCUCUCUACCAUAGCUUCGUCCAGUGACUCACCAUCAGAUAGCUAUAAAAUGCUUUACAGAGAUCAGUGUUUUCAGGAGCCUGGAGUCGAACAUCUUUCUAUGCCAGAAAGCGAUGACCACCUGUUACAUGAAAGGUCACUUUUAGAUGUGUUAUUAUGUAAAGAUGUGUUGUUAAAAAUUAUUUUAUCAUAUAGGCGAGCAUCACAAGCCACAAAUUGCAGUGUGGCAUAACCAAGCCAGUAUUAUGCAUACCGACAUUACAAACCAAUGUUGUUUUUUUGGGCGGUGUUGAGUAGUUUUUCCAGGAUGAGCUUCCAUGAUGAGUCUACCAUUACCAUGAGUGAAGAUGCCAAUGAUCUUCAGAACACAGUGAUUGAAUUGAAAGACCCAGAUGAUGCAACAUGUGAAAUAGACAGUGAGGACAACACUUCUGAUGAGGACUAUGUCCCCUCUAUCUGUCUUAGAACUGGUGAAGGAUCUAAAGACUUUAGGAAAAUUGAGGAGCUUAAAGUAAUUAGUCUAGAAGAAACAGUCCAUCUUACACAAGAAGAUGAAGUGCUACCCCAACGUGAAGAACAUGUUCCUACAUCUUAUGGUAGCCACCAAGUCAUGUGUGAGGAGGACAUAGUUGGACAACGGGCAUCUAUUGUAUAUGAAGAAAAAUGAUGAAAGAGCUGGUCACGCUUCUGCAGCUACCUGUAGUGAAGUGUAAUUUCAGUAACACAAUUACAAAAGAUACCUGCCAGGCUUCACCACCUUUUGAAGUCCAUCUGACUUCCAGGGGAACAGCAGGUGUCAUCCAAUGGAUAUGUUCAAAUGGGCACAAGGUAUGGACUUGGAAUUUGCAACCUACACUCAAAUUUGGAAUGCAGGCAGGGGACAUGAUGGCCACCAACAUUCUGCUGUCGGGAAAUAACUACUACAAAGUGUCACACCAGUUUAAUUACAUGAACAUGGGCUUUGUAUAUUCAGGAUAGCUACUGCUUAGGAGCAAUAAGGGACAUGUGGGAGGACAAGAGAAGUGCUGCGAUUCAACGUCUGAAGAUACGUCCUUUGAACAUAAAUAAAUGCCCGUCGAUAGAAGAACAUGAGGGCAGCAGCAUGCUUCUUUAUUAUGGAAUUUAUUAUGUAUUCUGCACACACUGCAGCUGGGGAUGACCACGUGGUUUCCUGCCCCAAGCGAACCACACUGCCACAAGACGAAAUUUAUGUAAGCAGCAUAGCGGUAUUCCCGGUUGUCAUCCCCAGGUUCCUAUGUGUCAUGGAUGGCAUAUAUGUUGUUUCUUAAACGGCGUGACAAGCGCAAUAUGUGCUCAUCCAAUAUGUAUAAUGACAUUUGGGGCAACAUGCUUACACAUGUGCCCUCUGUCAUGCCACAACAUUUAUUUUCAAGAUCAGACGGCAUUUCAAUGCAUCUUGUACAGGUACACCAUCGAGGUACAUCCUGUAAUUGCUGUUCCUCUAGAUGAGCAGGUGGUUGGAGAACAUCAAAGAUGAGGCCUGGUUCUCUAUUCAUAACUCUAAGUUCAUCCACGUUCAUGUUCCCUAUAACAUCCUGAAAAAAACAGCAUAAAUGUUAAUGCCAAAAACACAGAACUUGUUUUGGAAACUUGAAGUAUGUCCAUACUCACUUGUGUCAUCAACCUCCUGUCCUCUUGCAGCCUAGACACCAUCAAUCUGUCCUCUUCACACAGUCCAGAUGAUGCAGUGUUUCCUCUCCCUCUAGCUGCCUGUCUUCCCCUUGUAGACCUUCUCCGUCUACUUGCUGGUCUUCCUCUUGCUGCACUGCUAAGUUCAACAGCUUCAGUUGUCUCUUCUGGUGUCUUCACUCUGUAAGCUCUUCCCAUCCCUUUUGCUCUUCCCGUCCCUUGUCUUUUUCCCCUGUCCGCACCUUUUGCUCUUCCCUGUGAUGCUUCAUGCCAGCUGCUCUGGGGAGGAUUCCAGGUCUCAUCAGUAUUUGACAUGGAUACUUCCAGUGAGGAUCUAUCUGUAUCUCCCUGCAACAUACUCACAUGUCAACAAAAGCAAAUAAAAACAAUUGUAUAUACAGAUAUGACAUGACAGCUGACAAUACAUAGACAUAAACUUGAAAAACUAUCUAAUGUUUUUACUUUUACAUAGUUAUGUGGAGUACAUAAUCCUAAAUCACACUGAAGUAGUAAUUCAGCAUGCUUAAUUUUAUAUAUUCCAAAUGUUGCAUACUGUAUGAGUAAUGUUUAUGUAAGGACAGUGUUACUGCAUUUUGUUUGUUAUUAGUUUAUUGACAUGGUUUAUCACGUCAGGUGAAGUGUAUAGCAAUGUAAAUUAAUACAGUAUGUGUUAUACAUAAAUAUUAAUCAUCCUUUUUGCAAAUAAUGUGGGUACGUUCCUAUUUACUUUUACUAUGAUUGUUUUAAAAGAGUAAAACUGUGCAGCGUUACCACACCAUUGAAUUCGACAAAUACAGUAACAUCUAUGACAACCAAUUUAAUAUUAAACCUUACUACUUGCGGCUAAUUCAUUAUAAUGAAAUAA